AGAGUGUGUCGGAUGGUCGCGGGAAGAUACUGAGGUAUCUUUCUGAGGAAAGUCCGAGCUCCAGAGGGCAGAGCGCUGGGUAACGCCCAGGCGGAGCGAUCCGACGGAAAGUGGCACAGAAAAGACACCGCCCUCGUCGGACGGCUGCGCUGCAGACAGCCGUUGGGAUGGGGGUAAGGGUGAAAAGGUGGGGUAAGAGCCCACCAGCGGUGUGGUGACACACUGGCUAGCUAAACCCCGCUUGGAGCAAGCCCGAAUAGGGGAGCGAAGAGGCGGCCCGCCGAGCUCCCGGGUAGGGUGCAUGAGGUUGCUGGCAACAGCAACCCUAGCUAAAUGAUCAUCACCGGUGCGAGCACCGGAACAGAACUCGGCUUACAGAC
RNAcentral lists this RNase P RNA (380 nucleotides) under candidate division WS1 bacterium. RNAcentral's name for it is "partial RNase P RNA component class A". It matches the Rfam family "Bacterial RNase P class A". From Rfam's summary of the family: Ribonuclease P (RNase P) is a ubiquitous endoribonuclease, found in archaea, bacteria and eukarya as well as chloroplasts and mitochondria. Its best characterised activity is the generation of mature 5'-ends of tRNAs by cleaving the 5'-leader elements of precursor-tRNAs. Cellular RNase Ps are ribonucleoproteins. The record is from RNAcentral. Lineage: Bacteria; Bacillati.